GCAUCAUCGUUUGAAUUGUAGCUUCAUCGGUAUGUCAUCACGGAAAGUUUCGACAGAUACAAGUCUUCUGGAAAGAAGCACCAAAGAGGGUGAAAGUCCCGUGGUAUGAUCUGGUUGAUAUACAAGCUUUCAACACGUGUUUGAUGUUCCUCAGAGUCGGGUUGUUUGGGAUUGCAGCCCUAAGCAGGUGGUAAACUUCAUCUAAAGCUAAAUAAUCUGGCGAGAGACCGAUAGCGAAAAAGUACCGUGAGGGAAAGGUGAAAAGAACUUUGAAAAGAGAGUUAAAUCAGUGCUUGAAGUUGUUAAAAGGGAAUCGAUUGAAUAGUGAAACAAAUCUUUUAGCCAGUGCGAACGUCAAGACUUGGUUUACAAGCUUCAAAAAAACUUGUGGGCUUACUUCUUGAUGAGUCGGUCUGCAUCAGUUUGAAAGAGAGAAGAAAAGGGAAAAGAAGGUAGGCAGGACUUGUCUUGCUGUUAUAGCUUUUG
Molecule: ribosomal RNA, 486 nt
Filed under: uncultured eukaryote
Lineage: Eukaryota
Description: eukaryotic LSU rRNA
Rfam family: Eukaryotic large subunit ribosomal RNA
Source: RNAcentral